Pelobates cultripes (western spadefoot toad) is the source of this 134-nucleotide non-coding RNA. The record is from the annotation of a GenBank genome assembly. Lineage: Eukaryota; Metazoa; Chordata; Amphibia; Anura; Pelobatidae.
GGGCCACUAUACCUGUGUGUGUGUGUGUGUGUGUGUGUGUAUAUAUAUAUAUGUAUGUAUAUAUAUAUAUAUAUAUAUAUAUAUAUAUAUAUAUAUAUAUAUAUAUAUAUAUACACACACAGGUAUAGUGGCCC